Molecule: ribosomal RNA, 442 nt
Filed under: uncultured bacterium
Lineage: Bacteria
Description: partial 16S ribosomal RNA
Rfam family: Bacterial small subunit ribosomal RNA
Source: RNAcentral
CCUACGGGUGGCAGCAGUAGGGAAUCUUUCACAAUGGGCGAAAGCCUGAUGGAGCAACGUCGCGUGCAGGAUGAAGGCCCUCGGGUUGUAAACUGCUUUUAUAAGCGAGAAAUAUGAUGGUAACUUAUGAAUAAGGAUCGGCUAACUACGUGCCAGCAGCCGCGGUCAUACGUAGGAUCCGAGCAUUAUCCGGAGUGACUGGGUGUAAAGAGUUGCGUAGGUGGCAUACUAAGUAGCUAGUGAAAUCUGGUGGCUCAACCAUUCAGACUAUUAGCUAAACUGUUAAGCUCGAGACCGUUAGGGGUAACUGGAAUUUCUAGUGUAGGAGUGAAAUCCGUAGAUAUUAGGAGGAACACCGAUAGCGUAGGCAGGUUGCUGGGACGGUUCUGACACUAAGGCACGAAAGCGUAGGGAGCAAACGGGAUUAGAUACCCCGGUAGUC